Molecule: ribosomal RNA, 279 nt
Filed under: Penicillium chrysogenum
Lineage: Eukaryota; Fungi; Ascomycota; Eurotiomycetes; Eurotiales; Aspergillaceae
Description: partial 28S ribosomal RNA
Rfam family: Eukaryotic large subunit ribosomal RNA
Source: RNAcentral
AGAGUGAUCGAAAGAUGAAAASCACUUUGAAAAGAGAGUWAAACAGCACGUGAAAUUGUUGAAAGGGAAGCGCUUGCGAUCAGACUCGCCCGCGGGGUUCAGCCGGCAUUCGUGCCGGUGUACUUCCCCGUGGGCGGGCCAGCGUCGGUUUGGGCGGCCGGUCAAAGGCCCCUGGAAUGUAACGCCUCUCGGGGCGUCUUAUAGCCAGGGGUGCCAUGCGGCCUGCCCGGACCGAGGAACGCGYUUCGGCUCGGACGCUGGCAUAAUGGUCGUAAGCGA